RNAcentral lists this long non-coding RNA (214 nucleotides) under Hordeum vulgare. RNAcentral describes it as "long non-coding RNA (HVUL_LNC007169)". The record is from RNAcentral. Lineage: Eukaryota; Viridiplantae; Streptophyta; Magnoliopsida; Poales; Poaceae.
UUGUGAGUCUCCCUGCUUGAAGAUUUUCUAUGUGUUCCUCAAAUUUUAUUGUGUGCCAAGAACUGGAUAACCUUUAUUUAUUGUGUGUCAAAAUCUGACAUAUGUGCAUGACUUCAUCUUGUAGGUUGUCAUACGGAUGUUCUUUGGACUACGAUAUUGACAUGAAGACAUUUAUCGUAAUGCCAAAUUUUAUGUAGUAAUGCCAAAUAUUAUG